This 623-nucleotide long non-coding RNA is filed under the name Mustela putorius furo (domestic ferret). RNAcentral describes it as "lncRNA (ENSMPUG00000027531.1)". The record is from RNAcentral. Lineage: Eukaryota; Metazoa; Chordata; Mammalia; Carnivora; Mustelidae.
UUUCUACCAGAAGGAGGCGCGCGGCCCAGAUCCCCCCAGUCUCCUUUCUUAAAUCCCCCUACUAAGGGCUGCCAAGGUUGGCCGCACGGAGGGAGAGAUCCCUCCGGCAGGCCUGGCUCUCCCCCCGCCCCCCGGGUUGGUUUUUCCCAGCUGCGGAGGUUGGGCCAGGGGCUGGGGUGCGCGGAGAGUCGGCGCGCCCGCAUCGCGGAGCGGAGAAGUCGCGGAGACUCUGGUGGGACUGAGUUGUCUCCGGAGGUGACGGGCGCGGAGGUCCCGGAGCGGAUCAAGCGUGAGGCGCCAACAAAAGAGACAAGGAGGUGCCACCCGGGGGCGGCGGCAGAAGAAGAGCGGGAGGAGGAGCGCGGAGCUAAGAGUCCCGACCCGCCUGUCCUGGAACUUCUCUGCUGGACUUUUGGACCUCCACAAUGGCCAUCUGUGAUAAUCUUGUCUGUAGGUGAUUGUUAAAAUCAGUAUUCUUUAAAGGAAGAUAGACAAAAACUCAAUUACAUCAUCAUGUAUGUAACUCCUCUGAUGUUUUCUACUUGAAUCUAUUCCAUUUUAACUUAUUUUUUUCAAGAUACUGGUUAUUAUUCAUAAGCUGAUACUGUGUGUCAUUAAUUGGU